AUUGAACGCUGGCGGCAGGCCUUACACAUGCAAGUCGAACGGUAACAGGACUCCGCUUGCUGCCUUGUUGCCAAGUGGUGGGUGAUUGAUUAGUACCUGGCCAACUGCGGGAUGUAGCGCGGUGACUACUGUACUCAUACCCCAUUACAGCUUAGCGUCAAAGCAGCAGACAGAGGGACCUUAUUUCCCCUCGCCCCUUUGUAUCCCCCGAUGUCGGAUUAGCUAGUUGGUGGGGUCAAGGCCUACCAAGGCGACGAUCCGUAGCUGGUCUGAGAGGACGACCAGCCACACUGGGACUGAGACACGGCCCAGACUCCUACGGGAGGCAGCAGUGGGGAAUUUUGGACAAUGGGCGCAAGCCUGAUGCAGCAAUGCCGCGUGCAGGAAGAAGGCCUUCGGGUUGUAAACCGCUUUUGGCAGGAAGGAAACGGUGACAGCUAAUACCGGGCGCUAAUGACGGUACCUGCAGAAGAAGCACCGGCUAACUACGUG
Molecule: ribosomal RNA, 492 nt
Filed under: uncultured bacterium
Lineage: Bacteria
Description: partial 16S ribosomal RNA
Rfam family: Bacterial small subunit ribosomal RNA
Source: RNAcentral